GACGAACGCUGGCGGCGUGCUUAACACAUGCAAGUCGAACGAAGUGGCGAACGGGUGAGUAACGCGUAAUCAACCUGCCCUUCAGAGGGGGAAAACAGUUGGAAACGACUGCUACUACAGCAUACUGAAGGUGGGGAUUGCGUCUGAUUAGGUAGUUGGAGGGGUAACGGCCCACCAAGGCGAUGAUCGGUAGCCGGUCUGAGAGGUUGAACGGCCACAUUGGGACUGAGACAAGGCCCAGACUCCUACGGGAGGCAGCAGUGGGGAAUCUUCCGCAAUGGGCGAAAGUCUGACGGAGCAACGCCGCGUGGGUGAUGACGGCUUUCGGGUUGUAAAGCUCUGUUAAUCGGGACGCGGUACCGGAAUAGAAAGCCACGGCUAACUACGUGCCAGCCGCCGCGGUAAUAC
This 408-nucleotide ribosomal RNA is filed under the name uncultured bacterium. Its description in RNAcentral is "partial 16S ribosomal RNA". It matches the Rfam family "Bacterial small subunit ribosomal RNA", at positions 28 to 526 of the family's 1533-position model. The record is from RNAcentral.